GCAAUGGGCGAAACUGACGCAGCCAUGCCGCGUGAAUGAUGAAGGUCUUANGAUUGUAAAAUUCUUUCACCGGGGACGAUAAUGACGGUACCCGGAGAAGAAGCCCCGGCUAACUUCGUGCCAGCAGCCGCGGUAAUACGAAGGGGGCUAGCGUUGCUCGGAAUUACUGGGCGUAAAGGGAGCGUANGCGGACAUUUAAGUCAGGGGUGAAAUCCCGGGGCUCAACCUCGGAAUUGCCUUUGAUACUGGGUGUCUUGAGUAUGAGAGAGGUGUGUGGAACUCCGAGUGUAGAGGUGAAAUUCGUAGAUAUUCGGAAGAACACCAGUGGCGAAGCGACACACUGGCUCAUUACUGACGCUGAAGCUCGAAAGCGUGGGGAGCAAACAGGAUUAGAUACCCUGGUAGUCCACGCCGUAAACGAUGAUUGCUANUUGUCGGGAUGCAUGCAUUUCGGUGACGCAGCUAACGCAUUAAGCAAUCNUUGUCGGGAUGCAUGCAUUUCGGUGACGCAGCUAACGCAUUAAGCAAUCCGCCUGGGGANUACGGUCGCAAGAUUAAAACUCAAAGGAAUUGAAAGG
RNAcentral lists this ribosomal RNA (578 nucleotides) under humic substances-degrading bacterium HS146. Its description in RNAcentral is "bacterial SSU rRNA". It matches the Rfam family "Bacterial small subunit ribosomal RNA", at positions 368 to 917 of the family's 1533-position model. The record is from RNAcentral. Lineage: Bacteria; Pseudomonadati; Pseudomonadota; Alphaproteobacteria.